GGCUUAACACAUGCAAGUCGAACGGGCGUAGCAAUACGUCAGUGGCAGACGGGUGAGUAACGCGUGGGAACGUACCUUUUGGUUCGGAACAACUGAGGGAAACUUCAGCUAAUACCGAAUAAGCCCUUACGGGGAAAGAUUUAUCGCCGAAAGAUCGGCCCGCGUCUGAUUAGCUUGUUGGUGAGGUAACGGCCUACCAAGGCGACGAUCGGUAGCUGGUUUGAGAGAACGACCAGCCACACUGGGACUGAGACACGGCCCAGACUCCUACGGGAGGCAGCAGUGGGGAAUAUUGGACAAUGGGGGCAACCCUGAUCCAGCAAUGCCGCGUGUGUGAGGAAGGCCUGCGGGUUGUAAAGCAC
This 362-nucleotide ribosomal RNA is filed under the name uncultured organism. Its description in RNAcentral is "bacterial SSU rRNA". It matches the Rfam family "Bacterial small subunit ribosomal RNA", at positions 45 to 433 of the family's 1533-position model. The record is from RNAcentral.